GACGAACGCUGGCGGCGUGCUUAACACAUGCAAGUCGAACGGAAAGGCCCUGCUUUUGUGGGGUGCUCGAGUGGCGAACGGGUGAGUAACACGUGAGUAACCUGCCCUUGACUUUGGGAUAACUUCAGGAAACUGGGGCUAAUACCGGAUAGGAGCUCCUGCUGCAUGGUGGGGGUUGGAAAGUUUCGGCGGUUGGGGAUGGACUCGCGGCUUAUCAGCUUGUUGGUGGGGUAGUGGCUUACCAAGGCUUUGACGGGUAGCCGGCCUGAGAGGGUGACCGGCCACAUUGGGACUGAGAUACGGCCCAGACUCCUACGGGAGGCAGCAGGGGGGAAUAUUGCACAGUGGGCGGAAGCCUGAUGCAGCAACGCCGCGUGCGGGAUGACGGCCUUCGGGUUGUAAACCGCUUUCGCCUGUGACGAAGCGUGAGUGACGGUAAUGGGUAAAGAAGCACCGGCUAACUACGUG
This 468-nucleotide ribosomal RNA is filed under the name uncultured bacterium. Its description in RNAcentral is "partial 16S ribosomal RNA". It matches the Rfam family "Bacterial small subunit ribosomal RNA", at positions 28 to 507 of the family's 1533-position model. The record is from RNAcentral.